This 427-nucleotide ribosomal RNA is filed under the name uncultured bacterium. RNAcentral describes it as "partial 16S ribosomal RNA". It matches the Rfam family "Bacterial small subunit ribosomal RNA", at positions 355 to 774 of the family's 1533-position model. The record is from RNAcentral.
UGGGGAAUAUUGCACAAUGGGCGCAAGCCUGAUGCAGCCAUGCCGCGUGUAUGAAGAAGGCCUUCGGGUUGUAAAGUACUUUCAGCGGGGAGGAAGGUGUUGAGGCUAAUAACCUCAGCAAUUGACGUUACCCGCAGAAGAAGCACCGGCUAACUCCGUGCCAGCAGCCGCGGUAAUACGGAGGGUGCAAGCGUUAAUCGGAAUUACUGGGCGUAAAGCGCACGCAGGCGGUCUGUCAAUUCGGAUGUGAAAUCCCCGGGCUCAACCUGGGAACUGCAUUCGAAACUGGCAGGCUAGAGUCUUGUAGAGGGGGGUAGAAUUCCAGGUGUAGCGGUGAAAUGCGUAGAGAUCUGGAGGAAUACCGGUGGCGAAGGCGGCCCCCUGGACAAAGACUGACGCUCAGGUGCGAAAGCGUGGGGAGCAAACA